UGCCAGCAGCCGCGGUAAUACGCACUGUGCAAACGUUAUUCGGAAUCACUGGGUUUAAAGGGUGCGCAGGCGGUCUUGUCCGUCAGGUGUGAAAGCUCGGGGCUCAACCCCGGAAGUGCACUUGAAACAGCAAGACUUGAAUACGGUAGAGGAGAGAGGAAUUCCUGGUGUAGAGGUGAAAUUCGUAGAUAUCAGGAGGAACACCGAUGGCGAAGGCAUCUCUCUGGGUCGAUAUUGACGCUGAGGCGCGAAGGCGUGGGUAGCGAACGGGAUUAGAUA
RNAcentral lists this ribosomal RNA (279 nucleotides) under uncultured bacterium. Its description in RNAcentral is "partial 16S ribosomal RNA". It matches the Rfam family "Bacterial small subunit ribosomal RNA", at positions 506 to 784 of the family's 1533-position model. The record is from RNAcentral.